CUUUAAAAGUAAAAAAAAUCUCAAUUUUUGAAUGAUACAGAGAUUAGCAUGGCCCCUGCAUAAGGAUGACAAGCACAUUCAUGAAGCAGUCCAUAUGUUU
Molecule: small nuclear RNA, 100 nt
Filed under: Castor canadensis (American beaver)
Lineage: Eukaryota; Metazoa; Chordata; Mammalia; Rodentia; Castoridae
Source: RNAcentral